GACGAACGCUGGCGGCGUGGACUAGGCAUGCAAGUCGAACGCGAAAGAGGGGGGAAACCCCUCGAGUAGAGUGGCGAACGGGUGAGUAACGCGUGAAGAACCUGCCUUCAACAGGGGGAUAACACUCCCAACGGGGUGCUAAUACCGCAUGAGACCACGGGUCUGCAUGGACCUGAGGUCAAAGGUGGCCUCUGCUUGCAAGCUACCGGUUGAAGAUGGCUUCGCGUCCCAUAGCUAGUUGGCGGUGUAACGGACCACCAAGGCGACGAUGGGUAGCUGGUCUGAGAGGAUGGUCAGCCACACUGGGACUGAGAUACGGCCCAGACUCCGUACGGGAGGCAGCAGUCGAGAGGCCUCGGCAAGU
RNAcentral lists this ribosomal RNA (364 nucleotides) under uncultured bacterium. Its description in RNAcentral is "bacterial SSU rRNA". It matches the Rfam family "Bacterial small subunit ribosomal RNA", at positions 28 to 373 of the family's 1533-position model. The record is from RNAcentral.